AUGGCCUUUAAAGAUACCAGAAAAACAGCUGUGGAGCCAGGGGUGGUGGUUCAUGGAAUUAGAAUAAAACCCCUGGAGAAGGUGUGUGCUGACUUGAUCACAGGCAAAAAGUUUAAAAAUCUCAAGUAAAAGGACCAGUCUGUAUGCCUACCAAGACUCUGAAAAUCACUACAAGAAAAACUCCUUGUGGUGAAAGUUCUAAGGCACUGGGAUGGUUUCCAGAUGAGAAUCCAAAAGUGACUCACUGACUUGCACAGUCCUUCCAAGAUUGUCAAGCAGAUUAUUUCCAUCAGUGUUGCGCCAGGAAUCGAUUCUGAAGUCACCAAUGCAGAUGUUUAA
Molecule: long non-coding RNA, 339 nt
Filed under: Homo sapiens (human)
Lineage: Eukaryota; Metazoa; Chordata; Mammalia; Primates; Hominidae
Description: non-protein coding lnc-AMD1-3:1
Source: RNAcentral